UAAUACAAAAUCAGACUAUGUGAGUUAGAUGACGUGAAUUAUACUGU
RNAcentral lists this non-coding RNA (47 nucleotides) under Trypanosoma brucei brucei. Lineage: Eukaryota; Euglenozoa; Kinetoplastea; Trypanosomatida; Trypanosomatidae. The record is from RNAcentral.